GAGUUUGAUCCUGGCUCAGAUUGAACGCUGGCGGCAGGCCUAACACAUGCAAGUCGAGCGGAUGACGGGAGCUUGCUCCUUGAUUCAGCGGCGGACGGGUGAGUAAUGCCUAGGAAUCUGCCUGGUAGUGGGGGGACAACGUUUCGAAAGGAACGCUAAUACCGCAUACGUCCUACGGGAGAAAGCAGGGGACCUUCGGGCCUUGCGCUAUCAGAUGAGCCUAGGUCGGAUUAGCUAGUUGGUGGGGUAAUGGCUCACCAAGGCGACGAUCCGUAACUGGUCUGAGAGGAUGAUCAGUCACACUGGAACUGAGACACGGUCCAGACUCCUACGGGAGGCAGCAGUGGGGAAUAUUGGACAAUAGGGCGGAAAGACCUGAUCC
This 382-nucleotide ribosomal RNA is filed under the name bacterium enrichment culture clone ALO1_GLFRUDD03FP23G. Its description in RNAcentral is "bacterial SSU rRNA". It matches the Rfam family "Bacterial small subunit ribosomal RNA", at positions 9 to 389 of the family's 1533-position model. The record is from RNAcentral.